Molecule: ribosomal RNA, 111 nt
Filed under: Jaculus jaculus (lesser Egyptian jerboa)
Lineage: Eukaryota; Metazoa; Chordata; Mammalia; Rodentia; Dipodidae
Source: RNAcentral
GUCCAUGGCCAUGCCGCCCUGAAUGCGCCCAAUCUUGGAAGCUAAGCAGGGUCGGGCCUGAUUAGUUGGAUGGGAGAUAAAGAAGAAAGUGUUCUCUGUAGUGCCUGGCCA